This 253-nucleotide ribosomal RNA is filed under the name uncultured bacterium. RNAcentral's name for it is "partial 16S ribosomal RNA". It matches the Rfam family "Bacterial small subunit ribosomal RNA", at positions 524 to 776 of the family's 1533-position model. The record is from RNAcentral.
UACGGAGGAGGCAAGCGUUAUCCGGAAUUAUUGGGCGUAAAGCGUCCGUAGGUGGUUGACCAAGUCUGCUGUCAAAGGGUGGGGCUUAACCUCAUAAAGGCAGUGGAAACUGGUGAGCUAGAGUGCGGUAGGGGUAAGGGGAAUUCCCAGUGUAGCGGUGAAAUGCGUAGAGAUUGGGAAGAACAUCGGUGGCGAAAGCGGCUUGCUGGGCCUGCACUGACACUGAGAGACGACAGCUUGGGGAGCGAACGGG